GAGGAUGUAGCUCAGUGUUAGAGUGCUUACCUGGCAUAGGUAAGGACCUGGGUUCAAUCCCCAGUACCUCU
Molecule: transfer RNA, 71 nt
Filed under: Marmota monax (woodchuck)
Lineage: Eukaryota; Metazoa; Chordata; Mammalia; Rodentia; Sciuridae
Rfam family: tRNA
About the family: Transfer RNA (tRNA) molecules are approximately 80 nucleotides in length. Their secondary structure includes four short double-helical elements and three loops (D, anti-codon, and T loops). Further hydrogen bonds mediate the characteristic L-shaped molecular structure. tRNAs have two regions of fundamental functional importance: the anti-codon, which is responsible for specific mRNA codon recognition, and the 3' end, to which the tRNAs corresponding amino acid is attached (by aminoacyl-tRNA synthetases). tRNAs cope with the degeneracy of the genetic code in two manners: having more than one tRNA (with a specific anti-codon) for a particular amino acid; and 'wobble' base-pairing, i.e. permitting non-standard base-pairing at the 3rd anti-codon position.
Source: Rfam by way of RNAcentral